UACGUAGGGUGCAAGCGUUGUCCGGAAUUAUUGGGCGUAAAGAGCUCGUAGGCGGUCUGUCGCGUCGGCUGUGAAAUCCCGAGGCUCAACCUCGGGUCUGCAGUCGAUACGGGCGGACUGGAGUUCGGCAGGGGAGACUGGAAUUCCUGGUGUAGCGGUGAAAUGCGCAGAUAUCAGGAGGAACACCGGUGGCGAAGGCGGGUCUCUGGGCCGAUACUGACGCUGAGGAGCGAAAGCGUGGGGAGCGAACAGG
RNAcentral lists this ribosomal RNA (253 nucleotides) under uncultured bacterium. RNAcentral's name for it is "partial 16S ribosomal RNA". It matches the Rfam family "Bacterial small subunit ribosomal RNA", at positions 524 to 776 of the family's 1533-position model. The record is from RNAcentral.